UCCUUCCCGAUCUCUGUCCCUGUUCGUCGGCAAGAACAAGUCGUUGCCCUAACUUCGAUCUUGGAGGUAAGGGUUUGGUUUUGGUUGUGAAUUCGAACCUUGAUCCUUUCUAGUGUUGAUUCAGGUGGUUCUUUCUGGGAAGCAGAGACUGGUAUUUUGGUCCCGGCCACCACAGCUCUGUUGGAUCGAUCUCUUCUUCGUAUCAGUGAUCGUCUCCGGUGAUUGAAGGGUGCAGAGAGGAUGCGAUGUGCUUAUUUUAGAUAUUGGAUUGGGAAGUGCAGAGAAUCAAGCAAGGGUCAAGGAGUUGCUUCAUGUGGAGGAAUCAAAACUAGAGGAGGAUGAGGGAAAUACCACUCCAGCAGUGAGAUGGGUUCGAGAUGAUAAAUAUGAUUGCAUCCGAUUAAAGCAUUGCAAGGUGAGCUAUAUUCACUGUGUAUCCCCCCUUCAGAGUACAUAUGUAUCUGUAUAGUAAUUAAUUUCAAUAUAGGCACAUCAAAUUACCUUAAUUGUUUCUGGACAUAGACUUAAUCCUUUGGAUUACUUUAUUUUAAUUGGUAGAGUAUUUGCCACUACCUUUCUAUUAUUCAUUCUUUUGCUUUGCAGGUUGUGAAAAAAUUGAUUGGCAUCGGAAAGGAGACUAUUUCACUACUGUCGUUCCUAGUGAUAUCCUAAUUAUGAAUUUUAGUUGUACUUAUUUUUAGUCAUUCCUAGUGCCUAUUUUAUAUCUCAGUUUUGUUUCUUUCUUUUUUCUAAUACACACUGACAAAUUGGAAAUAU
Long non-coding RNA from Zingiber officinale, 777 nucleotides. RefSeq lists it as uncharacterized. The transcript has 3 exons. NCBI's taxonomy places the organism in Eukaryota, Viridiplantae, Streptophyta, Magnoliopsida, Zingiberales, Zingiberaceae. The record is from RefSeq and is a predicted model, not a curated record.